RNAcentral lists this long non-coding RNA (792 nucleotides) under Trifolium pratense (red clover). RNAcentral describes it as "long non-coding RNA (TPRA_LNC006069)". The record is from RNAcentral. Lineage: Eukaryota; Viridiplantae; Streptophyta; Magnoliopsida; Fabales; Fabaceae.
AAGGAGAGACUCCCACUAAUCCAAGACAUCCUUAGUGACAAAAAUAAUAUGAAAGACCUUAGGUGUCACGUCUUUGAUUAGUGAGUCAGCUAGCAUAAAAUUUAUCUCUAUAUGUUCUAUCAUUCAACAACAACUAAUAAGUCAACAAACUUUAUAAAAUAGAUGUUGAAACAUUAUCCGACCGAUGUAUGUCACAAUACAACUUGAGUUAUCUUUCAAAAUCUUUUACUUUAUGCAACCAAGUGACAUAAAUACUUACAGUCAUUUCUUGAGUUAGAUUGUCCAUUAUAUAUAGACAUUUAAAAGGAUCGGAGUUGAACAUCCAUAUGAUCUCCAAAUUGUUAAAUCUCCGAUAUGUGAGCACAAAUUAUUGUCCUCUAUAACAAUCUUUAUGGUUGCCUCAUUUUAACAAUUCAAAUUUUUGAAUUGCUCAAGUAUCUGCCAAAUGAUCUUGUUAUAUACACUAUUUCCGGAUGCGUAUAAGUAAGAUUAUACAUAAGUUUCUCAAUGCUAAAGCAUAUAGGAAAAUACUUUAUUUUCUAAAUUUCCAGAUUUUCUUUUGGACAAUGAUUGAGACUAAACAAUCUCCCUUUGUGAUUAAGGCAAUCCCUUAGUUUAUUGACUUUCAUGUCGAAUUAACUUUCAACUUUAUUGAUACAAUUCUUUUGUGAUAACCGAAUAAUACAUUGAGAAAUCUAAGUAUCAAAGUGCCUAAUACAAAAGAGAUGUGCCCAAGAUCUUUUGUCACUAAACUUUUGUUAGUGAUUUCUUGGUUUCACACAACAAUCAUAU